RNAcentral lists this long non-coding RNA (969 nucleotides) under Capsella rubella. RNAcentral describes it as "long non-coding RNA (CRUB_LNC002669)". The record is from RNAcentral. Lineage: Eukaryota; Viridiplantae; Streptophyta; Magnoliopsida; Brassicales; Brassicaceae.
CCAAAAUAAAAUAAAAAACAGUAAAGGAUGUAAGGAAAGGAAACAAAAGAGAGAAAAAAAAGGUUAUGAAGUUUUGUGGGUAGAAUUAAUUAGAUGAAGAAGAAGAAGAAGUGGGAAUGGUGUCAUCUUCUUCGCAUUGUUUCAACAAUUCACUGAAGGAUGGAUCAUAAGAGCACCUCCAGUGGUUAGCACCAUUGGAGGAUGCUAAUCAAUUGUUUUUUUUAUUAAUUUUCAAAAAUUGUGCUUAUGUGUUACUUAUAAUCACAACUUAAGCUAUGGUGCUUACAAUAUAUAUAUAUUUUUUUUUUGAUUAUAUUCAUUACAUAUAAUGAUAAGCAACAUGCUAAACAUACAUUAAGCACCUCCAAUGGAGGUGCUUUAAGCCACCACUCUUCUCAAAUACUUUGCAGCUAGCUACCUCUCUCCUUCCUUCAUUGAAUAUAGGUACAUUUUAAUGUCCUUCAGUUGUGUUUUUAUCUCAUUCAUGUUUCAUAGAUGUUCAAUUCUUGGUAUUUUUGAUGUUUUACUUAGGAACCUUGUUAUUGUGAGAGUUGAUUAAGUUGUUGAACCUCUCAUAUAAAGCUUAUCUUGUUUGGAUCAGUAAUGAAGUUUUAGUUAUUCUCGUUUUAUCAGUCAAAUCUUGAUCAAACUCUUAGACCAACAUUAUCAGCAGGAUUUAAGGGGUAUCUUAGUAUUAAUAGUAUUUAAAUUUUAAUCAAAAAAUAUAAUAAAUAUUAAGAUACCUAUGUUGGAGUAUGUUGGAGAAGAUACCAUUGGUGGGUUAAGAGACGCCUACGUGGCAGACUCUGAUUGAUUGAUAUUUUUUUUUUUUUUUUUUUAGAAAGUCUGAUUGACUAAGAUGAUAAAUAUUUAAUGGGAGAAACAAAUUUUACUCAGAUGAAGAUGAACGAGAUAUGUAUACUCAGUUUGAUGUCACUGAAUUUCAACAAGCGAAAACUGCCAAAAGUA